Brettanomyces bruxellensis AWRI1499 is the source of this 72-nucleotide transfer RNA. It matches the Rfam family "tRNA". Rfam says of the family: Transfer RNA (tRNA) molecules are approximately 80 nucleotides in length. The record is from Rfam. Lineage: Eukaryota; Fungi; Ascomycota; Pichiomycetes; Pichiales; Pichiaceae.
GGUUCUAUAGUGUAGUGGUUAUCACUCUUGGCUCUGAUCCAAGCGACCCCGGUUCGAGUCCGGGUAGAACCU